UACGUAGGUGGCAAGCGUUGUCCGGAUUUACUGGGCGUAAAGAGCGCGCAGGCGGUCUCUUAAGUCUGAUGUGAAAGCCCACGGCUCAACCGUGGAGGGUCAUUGGAAACUGGGGGACUUGAGUACUGGAGAGGAGAGUGGAAUUCCAUGUGUAGCGGUGAAAUGCGUAGAUAUAUGGAGGAACACCAGUGGCGAAGGCGGCUCUCUGGCCAGUAACUGACGCUGAGGCGCGAAAGCGUGGGGAGCAAACAGG
RNAcentral lists this ribosomal RNA (253 nucleotides) under uncultured bacterium. RNAcentral describes it as "partial 16S ribosomal RNA". It matches the Rfam family "Bacterial small subunit ribosomal RNA", at positions 524 to 776 of the family's 1533-position model. The record is from RNAcentral.